GAGAAGUUCUAGGAAGUUCAUUUCCUUCAUCUGCCUGGAAUUAUCUAACUGCUCAGCAUUCUUGUGCUCAGAGUUUAGUCUGAAUUUCACCAUGUGGUCCAUCAUCUUCUUUCUCCUGUUGAGGUUCCUCUGCCCUGGAAACAGCGCCCCUCUGAGCCCUCAAAACCCUGACGCAGAUGGAAAGCCAAGCGCUUCUUCUGUUUCCAUCCUUCAGCCUCCAGCAGGACAACUGAAUUGGCCCCAAAAAAUCACUCUCACAUGCGUCAUGGAAGUUUUUUAUCCCAGCGAACUCUUUCUGAUAUCGCUCCGGAAUGGGGAGCCGGUCAGUGAAUCAGGGUAUCACACUGGCCCAUCCAAUUUACAGUCCAACACACCCAAACGGUAUUUGAGGUUGAGCAUCAGCAAGCAGGAAGUGAAUUUGAAUAGUGAAGAUGAAUUCUAUUGCCUGGGUGAUUACGAAGCCUUGCCAUCCGACGUCAUCCAGAAGACCAUAAAGAAGAACACGGGGAAAUGAUCUGUAGUUGACGUCUCCGUAAUCCUCUCUGACGCCAGCAGCCCUUGCUUCCCAUUUCUUUUGAGAAACCUUCGUGUGUUCGGUUCCCACCAGCCUCUCUUUUCUCCUACUUCGUGAUGGAAAAUUCAUGAAAGCAUUCGUUGGCCGCAUCCUUCUGAAGACAAGAAAUAUUGUGUCAUCAAGUAUUUUUCUCAAAACAAGUAAAAAAAAUAAUAAUAAUCUGGGGGUAAGGCAGUGGUGAAAUGUAAAAUUUGUA
Non-coding RNA from Ahaetulla prasina, 770 nucleotides. The record is from the annotation of a RefSeq genome assembly. Lineage: Eukaryota; Metazoa; Chordata; Lepidosauria; Squamata; Colubridae.